GACGAACGCUGGCGGCGUGCCUAAUACAUGCAAGUCGAGCGGACGGAUGGGAGCUUGCUCCCAGACCGUCAGCGGCGGACGGGUGAGUAACACGUGGGCAACCUGCCUGUAAGACUGGGAUAACUCCGGGAAACCGGGGCUAAUACCGGAUAACUCUUUCCCUCACAUGAGGGAAAGCUGAAAGAUGGCAUCUCGCUAUCACUUACAGAUGGGCCCGCGGCGCAUUAGCUAGUUGGUGAGAUAACGGCUCACCAAGGCGACGAUGCGUAGCCGACCUGAGAGGGUGAUCGGCCACACUGGGACUGAGACACGGCCCAGACUCCUACGGGAGGCAGCAGUAGGGAAUCUUCCGCAAUGGACGAAAGUCUGACGGAGCAACGCCGCGUGAGUGAUGAAGGUUUUCGGAUCGUAAAACUCUGUUGUCAGGGAAGAACAAGUACCGGAGUAACUGCCGGUACCUUGACGGUACCUGACCAGAAAGCCACGGCUAACUACGUG
Molecule: ribosomal RNA, 498 nt
Filed under: uncultured bacterium
Lineage: Bacteria
Description: partial 16S ribosomal RNA
Rfam family: Bacterial small subunit ribosomal RNA
Source: RNAcentral